GAUGAACGCUGGCGGCGUGCUUAAUACAUGCAAGUCGAACGAAGCACCUUGGACAGAAUCCUUCGGGAGGAAGACCAUUGUGACUGAGUGGCGGACGGGUGAGUAACGCGUGGGUAACCUGCCUUGUACAGGGGGAUAACAGUUGGAAACGACUGCUAAUACCGCAUAAGCGCACAGUAUCGCAUGGUACGGUGUGAAAAACUCCGGUGGUACAAGAUGGACCCGCGUCUGAUUAGCUGGUUGGUGAGGUAACGGCCCACCAAGGCGACGAUCAGUAGCCGACUUGAGAGAGUGAUCGGCCACAUUGGGACUGAGACACGGCCCAAACUCCUACGGGAGGCAGCAGUAGGGAAUAUUGCACAAUGGGGGAAACCCUGAUGCAGCGACGCCGCGUGAAGGAAGAAGUAUUUCGGUAUGUAAACUUCUAUCAGCAAGGAAGAAAAUGACGGUACUUGACUAAGAAGCCCCGGCU
RNAcentral lists this ribosomal RNA (472 nucleotides) under uncultured bacterium. RNAcentral describes it as "bacterial SSU rRNA". It matches the Rfam family "Bacterial small subunit ribosomal RNA", at positions 28 to 498 of the family's 1533-position model. The record is from RNAcentral.